GCUUGCAGUAAUUAAGCCUUGCUGCAAAGAGCACUCCCGCGUUUGUCAUCUCCGAGAAGUUAAGGGCAGCAGCUCCGCUCCGGCUGGAGAGGCUGUGCAGAAGUGCCCGUCCGGGAUCUUCCAAACCCAUCUCCCGCAAGCACUACAGAAAAGCGCCAAAACGCCCGCAGCGCGCUCCGGGCGGCCGGAGCCGCCGCGUCCCCCGUGCCGUGCCCAGUACCUGGAAGGUUUUACGUUCCUGCCUCCCUGACAGCUGUUUUGUCUCACAACAUUUUCAAACACAUGGGAGACGAUUUUCUCUUCAAUUGCUCCUGAUAUCAGCCUUGAGUCAUGGACCACUCCAAGUGUGGUGAAGGACAUCCCUGAUUUGUGGCACUGUGGCAGCAAGACAGCUUGGUGAAGAUCUGAAAGAAAAAGAGCGUGGCUGUAGAAUUGGACCCCUAAAACCUAUUAAUUUCUUUGAAGGGACUUAUUCGGAAGAAAGUUAAUAAAAACUGCAUGGAAAAACCAGCAUCACAGCUAUUUUUUUUUUUUUUUGGUCCGAAAUUCCUGCAGGAAAGUUAGCCGAAUGCAAAAAGUAUCAAAAAACAGAGAAG
Molecule: long non-coding RNA, 596 nt
Organism: Corvus hawaiiensis (hawaiian crow)
Lineage: Eukaryota; Metazoa; Chordata; Aves; Passeriformes; Corvidae
Exons: 3
Source: RefSeq, a predicted model, not a curated record